Long non-coding RNA from Nilaparvata lugens (brown planthopper), 7642 nucleotides. RefSeq lists it as uncharacterized. The transcript has 4 exons. NCBI's taxonomy places the organism in Eukaryota, Metazoa, Arthropoda, Insecta, Hemiptera, Delphacidae. The record is from RefSeq and is a predicted model, not a curated record.
AAUUUCUCAAUUCUCAUUUCUCAUCAUUUGGUUCAAAGUUAACCUUACUUCUGCAAUUUUUCCAUUCAAAGGUAUCUAUCGGCUUGAGCAAAUUAAAAAUCGAAUUUGGGUGACAUGAGGUGAAGAUCCAAUACUAAAUUUUUUUAGGCAGUACGUCCACAUAAAAUGAGAGAUCUCUGCCAUAUGUCACUCUACAGGAUUAGCGCUGGGGUUAUAAAGAGAAGUUCUAGACCACUUGAUAUUAGCCAGGUGAAGUAUUUCUUUCCACUGUUUGCUACAAAAAUAGGUUGCAUUAUCAGAUAGGAUACGUUUAGGCUUUCACACUUCAUUAGUCCAUCUACCUAAUGGGAAUGUUUACCUAUGGGAAAUAACAUUGUAUAUUUUGAAAAAAAUACAUGUAAGAACAAAUAUGUAUUUCUUUUCAUAUUGGGCCAUAGAUAAUGGACCGUAUAUAUCUGCUGAUAUUAAUUCUAAUGGUGCUCUAGGUAGAAUAGGAUUCAUUUCACCUCUGAUGUGAUAUUGUGCAUAUUUAGCUUUCUGGCAUAUAUUGCAAGCUUUUAUUAUUUUGGCCACCUUUUUAUGCAUGUUUUAAAAAUAACAACUUUCCUUCAGCAUGUGGAGGGUCUUCAUUGUUCCAAAAUGUCAGAUACGUUCGUGGGCCUCUUUUAUCAGAUCCAUUUCUAUACUUGGGGGAAUCAUUAUGCACCAGUUGUAAUUAUUUUUAGCCGGUCGGUGGAACAUAAAACCUUUGUAGUGGGUGUACUGUAGCAGGUAGUCAGGCAGUUCAGUAGCUCCUUCUUCCACCAAUUCACGGAUCCGGGACAGUUUUGCGUCUCCAUGUUGGGUGAUGCAGAUUUUCUCUGGGGUCAGGACGGCAGUAUGAUUACGUGGUUGGAUAUUGGGAGGGUAUGGUAUGCUUUCUUGAUCAUUUACGGCGAAAAACUUUAGGUUGAUAUCUUGACAGUAUGUGGGGUCUAUUUCUCUAGAUAGGAAGUCAGCAGUCUGAUUUUUCUUUCUUGGUGAAUGGGUCAAUUCGAUAUCUUACUCUUGAAGUGCAAGAAACCAUCUAGACAAGCGGUUGUGAUUUAACUUGGCAGUUUUAAAGAAGGUUAAGGCUUUGUGGUCUUUGUUGAUGAAUAUAUUAUUGCCGAGUAACAAUGUUUGGUACUUAGUGGAUACUUCAACAAUACUUAACAGUUCUUUCUCAGUUAUGGAAUAUUAACGCUGUGCUGAAUUGAGUGUUUUACUAAAAAAUGCCAACACUCCUUUCUCUCCUUGAUCGUCCUCUUGGAAAAUCUCUGCACCUAUCGCAUAAUCUGAGGCAUCGACAUUUAAGAAAAAAGGUUUCUUCAGGUUAGGGUGUUUUAGUACAACGGAAUUUAAGAUGCUUCUUUGAGUUGUUGAAAUAUGAGUUCUUCAUUAUCAGUCCAUCUCCAAGGUUUAGUGGUGGAUAAUAUGUGACUGAGUUGGGCAGUGUAGUGGGACAUUUGUUUGUUAAAAUGGCGGUAGAACUGUAGAAAACCAAUUAAUUUUUGUAGUUAUUUGCAGUUGAUCGGUGAUGGAAAAUGUUGGAUAGCUUCUAAUUUAUUUGGGUCCUGUGAUAUGCCAGUGGGUGUAAUUAUAUGUCCUAGAUAUUUAACUCCACUUACAAAAAAUUCACACUUUGAUAGCUUCAAUUUCAGUCCACAGUUAAUCAAUCUACUAAAUACUGUAUCCAGAUGCUGGCAAUGGUCGAGGAUAUUUUGUGAGGCUAUCAAUCCAUCGUCCACAUAUAGCAUGCAAUAGUCUCCAAUAUUGUCUCCUAAUGCGAUUGAGAUUCCUCGUGUGAUUUAGAUUUGGUAAAAGUGUGAAAUUUUAAUGUUUGAAAAUUUAAGCAGGCAUGGAAAUGUUGGAGAAAAUCUUGCCUAUUAUUAAGGGUGGACUGGAUACAGGUAAUACAAGAAACGUAUAAGCGAAUUGUUGUUGUUGAAGGCCCAUUUCCAGUAAACAUUGGGUGGUUAUAUGUAUUUGUCAUCCUGGAAUGAUGCCUGAUACACAUACAUUUGUUAGCGGUAGAGUAGCUAAUUUUGUUUUCUCUUUUAUAUGCUGAAAGACAUCCGCUUGUAUAAGACUGCAUUGUGAACUACUAUCUACUAAUGCUUGAACCUUCAAUCCAUAUAACUCGAUAUCAAUAUAUGCUUGCAUCUGUGUGUCGGGCAUCCUGUGUUCUCAUUCUGGUUCUUCUAAUAAUAUUUCCGGUAAAUCGUUCACAAAGGUGGUAUAUGAGGCUGAGGUAUCUUUAUUUUCUUUAUCUAUUUUUUCUGAGCUUAUGUGGGUUGUAUUGGAGGUAGUUAUCAAUUAUUAUAGUCAUAAUUGUUUAGAUGUAGUCUUCUCUGUGUUUGGUGGUGUGUUAUCUGGUGUUGAUUCCUGUGUUUUCUGUUGAUUUAAUUGGGCCACAUGCUCCAUUGUAUAAAUUUGUACUUAUUUGUUGUGGUGGCGGUUUAUAGUUUCUGUUGUAAUUAUUAUGGGCAUAUCCGGUAUUAGCAUUCAAAUGAUCAUGGCCAUCAUAAUAAUUUCUUCGGUUUGCUUGUUGUGAAUAAUGGUUUGUUGAACGAUUCUGAAAAUUUCCAUUAUUCCUGUUAUUACUCUGAUUCUGGUCAUUGCAACACUCAAAACGAGGUGUCAUUCGGGAACGAUCAUAUGGUACCGAUUCAUAAGCUUGGCUGGCAUACUGAUUAACAUUUGAAUUAUAUUGAUUUUGUGUAUAUGACUGAUCUGACUGGUGAUUUGGUAUUGCCAUCACAGAUUGUAUACUGUAUAAAUGGUUUAUCAGAUGUUUACAACCAGUUAUUGGCUGGGUGGCGAGUGCCAUUCUGACUCGGAAGGGUAGUUUUUUCAAGAUUAUGUUUGAUAAAGCAGAAUCAUUAAUCGGCUCCUCUAGCUGAGAAUUUUUUAAAUUGUAGGGCAGUGACAGAAGUGGUAUAUCCACCAUCUAAAUUGGGGUUGAAAUCGCAUGAUAUGAUAUCUGCUAGUGCGUCCAACUGUUUACUUCUGCUCCAAUAUUGUUCUAGGAAGACAGCAAUAAACUCAUCCAAUGAUGCAAAUUCAUGAGCUCUACUCUGAAAAAACAACAGGGGUUCGCCACUCAGCAAGCUGGUUAAGCAGAGCUGCCACAUAUUCCAAGAGAUGUGACUCUGACUCCUGGGACGCUGGAUCUGUGGGCUCCUCUUCGCCCCCUCGACGUUGAUAUCUGCUACCCCAGUGUUCAGCAGUGCAUUAGCGGCCUCAACCUGAGUGGACGACAGAUGUUGCAGACCUUGAGGAUCGAAAACUAUCAAUUUGAUGCUUUCGGGUUCCCUCUCUCAUGGUGUAUUGACAUCGUCCAUUGUGGGAUUUGAUGUGCUGGGAGUCGACAAAGUGGGAUCUGGACAACUGCCAUUCAUAUAUGAAACUUUAGAAUUUGCGGGAGUGUAGUUAAUGUUACUACUGAGUGUUAAAUGCAAUUUGAACAAGUGAGAAAUUUUAUGCAAUGAGGCCUUUAUAAUGGUCGACAAGAUAGAAUUUACAAAUAUGGAUAUGUGCUGUGUGUUUCCAGCCACGGACUAUGUCAGGUAUUUAUUAAUUUAACUUGUAUUUAGUUUUAUGUCUUAUUUAGAUCUGUCAGUUUGCUCUGUAUGCCAGUAUUUAUAGCUAUACGGCCUUCCUUUACAAAUAAUACUAUCUCAAAUGGGAUCAAAAGUCAAUUUCCGACUAGCUUAUUGAUUGUAGCCUAUAAUAUUUUCAAGCUGGCUUAUAUUUAAAUUAUUAGUGACUUGAUAAAAUUCAGCAAUUCAGGCCCAUAAAAUCUCUAAAAUAUAGUUUCAAAAAUAAUAAGAUUUAUAAAAAUAAUUUCUCCUUUGCUUAAAGCUAUUGAUUCCCAAAAAAGGUUUUUUACAUUGCUUGCGGUCACAAGUAAAUUCUCAUUGCUCAUCAUCCAUUCACAACAAAUCUCAAUCUGUAUCGACUUGUCUAUAAUUAUCAGCGAUAUACAGCCCUGAUUUACUCUCAAUAAUGAUUUUAUGAGCUCUGUUCUCAUCACCAGUCCCACGUUGGAUAAGCCAUGAUUAUGUCAUGCUAUUUUUUUUUCAAUAACGAGUUGCCCUGCUUGGCUGCAGUUGGUAGAGCAUGAAUAACAAGAUAUAUAAUCCUUAUUGUGGUUCUUAGAAUAAUAAUAAUACCAAUUUCUUACUGGCUCGCCCAGGAGUUCCCGCAGUUCUCUGUUCUUGCUGGUUACUGAUGUUGGCUGCUCCAACAGUCCACAAUUUCUGUGACUGAUUUGUUCAAUUCCGCAAAUACAGAUGCAAGAAUUUAUGCUGCUGCAACUUAAUACUAUCAGUAAGUCGAAGCAACUUUAUCUGUUUAUGAUUAAUCACCUCAUCUAGAUCUUUUGCAAACAAUGUCAGAGUUUUGAUGAAGUGUUUUGCUGCAUCAGGUCCUCUAUAGAUGAUUGGUUCCUGAGGGAUGAUGUCAGUGAUUGUCAGCCAUGAUGGUAAUAGGUUCUUUUCUCUGACAAAGUAGAGGCAAUAACUCAUUGCUGUGUGAUGCUGAAUCACUUUAGUUGUCUUACCAAUCCAUUGCCAGUCUUCCUCGGGCUUCUCCAGUAGACAUUCAAAAUCUGCAUAGGCUAACAAUGGUAGCUUAAAUCAUUCAAAAGUUUCUCGAAUUUCAUUGUUGGUGGGCUCCAUCCUCCUUUAGUUGAGGAAUGAUGAUUCUAGCAGUCUGGUUGUUGGCACAGUACUCCUUGUGAUCUUUCAUCAUCUGUUCCCCAUUAUUGUUGGAGGUAUAGUGUAUAAAGCACUGGCAACAAAUGAUGAUGUGGUGCUUGUUUUUAGUGAACUGAGAACUUACAAGUUUCUCAAAGUUUUUUAUGAAACAGUAAUGGCUGUUGAGAUGUCCCUCUUCUCCAUGAGUGGUGAUGGUGGCUUCACUGAUGUCCGAGUGGUGAUAGCUUCACUGCUGUCCUUAGUGGUGGUGGCUUCACUACCAUCAUUGUCAUGGAGGAGUAGUGAAUCAAAAUGAUCCUCCUUCAUUUCUUUCACAACAUGUCUUGGAUAGAUUAUACACUUGGAAUGUACCCCAUAUAUAUCCAUUGUUACCCCUGUAUUAUCCCUCUCAAAACGGUCGAUUUGAUUAAUUGUGGUGGGGAAAGAUAUUCCAUUGAAAUUGUAUUUCCAAUGAACUGAUUAAACCUAUUGUUAACACGUUCAGGAUGUGCUCCUUGCACAUGUUUGGCAAGGAUAGCGCACUUAAAACAUUGUUGAUCACUAUUCUUCGGGUUGAUGAUGGCUUUCUUGCUGCUAUUUUGGCUGGCUGUUCAAUGUAGGAAGAUCCUCGAAGUGGUUUGUGCUUGCUUAUGUGGAUGAGGUGACCGUUGAUGAUGAGGAGGCUACAUCUGCUAGAGUUGCCCUCGAACUUGGCCUCUUCCUCCAACAGCUUCUUGCAUGCCUCCCUGAUAAUUUCAGCUAGAUCGUUGACAUUGGAGAUUGAUUAGUUUGGAAUCUUGAAGGCUUCAUUCGGGAAUUCUUCCUGCUCGAUGUUCUUCUCAUCAAGGUGGCUGCAUUGGUAUGUAGCCUCCAACACUAGGUUGACCUUGAUUGGCCCGUGUGUUUGAAACUCCUGGCCUAUUACAUUGAUGAUGAUUUUUGACUGCAAGUUGUUUAGCAUAAAGUGGAAGUCCUUUGCUGGAUUGGGUGAAGAAAUGUUGUUGUACAACAGUGUCUGAAGGUUGUUGUUGAAUGUCUCCUCUAAUGUACAAAAUCUUCUGUCGAGCUGCUGGUCUGCUGACAUCUGGUAGCUUUGUUCAUGUGUAAUAUACCUAUGAGCAGAUUGAUAAUAAAGCGCAAUGUAGGCGGCAGUCAUCUAGAGUGAUAUGGCCAUCUUGAAUGACAUGUCUUGCACUUGAUCUAGAUGUUCAGCACACAAUUACUACUAUAUAUAUGCUACUGAGAAUCAAUCAUAUAUAUUACAUAGGAUGUUGGAAUGUUCAGAAAGAACAAUGCCUGAAAUCGAUAUUUUGGGGUUAGGUUAGGUUGGCAGAAGUUACUAGUAACUUUUGCAGACCUAACCUAACCACAGUUCAUUGUCUACAAUCAUAUGGAUCUGCUGACAUAUUGUUUACAGAGCUCAACAGACAGAAAUACAAUAAAUUACAAAAUAUGUUAUGCAAUACAUUAUGAGGUAGCAACACUAAACAGAGUAAAUAGUGCCAUACAAAAAUCAUUAAAAUCAGCUGACAUAUUGUUCAUAGAUCUCAACAGGCAGAAAGGCAAUUAUUCACAAAAUAUGCUAUGCAAUACAUUAUGUGGUAGCAAAACUGAACAAAAAUUAGCCAUAUAAAUCAAUACAGCUUCAUCUUUAUGAGCAGAAUAAGACAAAUUUCUCUAUCUCUUUUCAAAACAUACAAUAAAAACCACUUGUGUACUAUUUUUCACACAAUUGAAGAUCGAAAAUGAUAAGUGGCAGUGGUGUGGCGGUGUCCUAGAAUACUUCACAAAAUGAUGUUGGCUAGCACCGCACUGUCUAAAACACUGGAUUCUAUACUGAACACUAAUAACUGAACAGGUGUACCACACUAAUAACCUGUGUCUUGUGUGACUUGUCUGGACACUGAUGACCCUGCACAAGUGUCUGCACUAUUUAUACACUUCUCAGAGGGUGGAGAGUCUUCAGAUUUUUUCCUAUAUUAUGUUUAUUAAUUUUGUUUUAUUUUAAAUUAAAAAAAAUUUAAUGUAUAUCUUUUUUUUACCUUGACCUUUGACUCUAUGGGACUUCUGGCGCAGGUUGACCUUUGACCUUUGACCCUAUGGGAAGUCUGGUAGAGGUUGACCUUGACCUUGUCCCAUGAAUGGCAAGAUAUAUCUACUCCAGGUCAUCACCGGUGGGUGUGGGGGGUACGGAUUACUGCCCACCAAAGGGUGGUCUGGGGGUUCUCCCCCGGAAAAUUUUAAAAAUAUACCUUCAAUUUGGUGCAAUUUUAUGCAAUUUCCACAUGAAAAGAAAUGUUCCAUUCAAGUCUUUCUGGUGAACAAUAGGCCACUUAUUGUUCCAAUUUUCCCUUGAAAUUGAAUAGACCUAUUGGUUUUUGAUUAAAUAACAAAUAGAAUGGAAUGGAGUAGAAUUUUAUUUGUCAUUCAAUUGUUUGAAAAAAUAUUGAUUUUGUAGAGGGCCUAUACUCAUUCAAACUUAUCCAAACUUACAUUGUUUGGGGGGGGGGAUAAACCAUUUUUCUUUCUAAAUAUUAGAGGGAUGUGACCCUCCUGUCCAUGCUAGAAACUAUGUAAUCAAAACUGUGAAAUUUUCUGGGGUACUCUCUAACAGCUUUGUUUAAGGAUAUGCAUGAAACUGAAUAAACUAGAACAAUAUGAGCUAUAUUGAAUCCCUUCAUAAUAGUAGAUUGUAAAGAAUGAUCUAACUUUGGAGUUAUUACUUAUUAUAUUCCUCGACUUACAUAGUACAAUAUAACGAAAAUAUGGUAUUAGAUGCUAAUUUGUGUGGCUGAUCCAGCCACAAGAAGAUGCAGGUUCAAUUUUACAAUCCAGUAUGCCGCUUCUUUGCUAGAGGAACUCAAAGUGGAAAAAUGAGGGCUUUUGAACUUCUGUACAGGUACAGUCAUUGAGUCAUAUAU